CAGGGACCCCACUUUGAGAACUGCUGACUAGAAAACAUGUCACCACUUUUAGGGGUCUGUCCCCUCAGCUGUCACCCUCCUCUCUCCGAUUGCCAGGGCCAUGCCGUGGGAGCCGGGGUCCCAGUUCUGUGUGAGCAACUGUUGGGUUGAGCUUUAUUGCUCUUAUCCAUCCUGAUUUAUCAGACCCUUUCGAAAAGGAAGUUCGUGGGUGCCAACGCACCUGUGUGGGCCCUGCAUUCCAGGAGCUGUUGUCACGUCCUCUCUCCCCUCCCCCGGGUGUGGCAUCUCUCUUUACUUGGACUUUCCUUUCUAGAAGGGAGGGCCAGGCCAGAGCUUCCUGGAUCUCCUAAGUGGAAUUUGCUCUGAGGCCUGCGUCACAAGUGCGCCUGGGUUGUGUAAGGCAGGAAUGUGGAAAAUAGUUAGAAUUUGAUAAAAGCAUUGUGGAGGAGGGGCACCCUCUCACUCCGAGGGCUGUGCCGGCCACAAGCUUGUUCGCAGCGCCUGAAUUUCAGCCUUUCUGGAGAAGCAUGAAGCCCAGAGAAACAGCACAGAGAAGAGUUUAUAUUCCUGUUUCUUCAGUUUGAAGACUGAACCCUAAUCUCAUUUCUCUCCAUCAUGCCUCCCCACCCCCAAAUCCUCAAGCUAAAGCUGAUCAAGAUCUACGUGUGGAAUGAAAAGCUAGUCCCGUGCCUGGGAGAAUUCAUACUCAGUGAGUUAGGGAGAUAAGCGAGGUCUCUUUCAGUCUAAAGAAAACCUGCUUGUUUCUGGCAAGUGCCAGUGGGAAAUUUCAGAAUGGAGCAGGGUGUGCCCGGCAGCCUUCUGGAUCAGAGAGGUUUUGCCUGUGUUCAGAGGUGAAGGUGUUUCCCACACAGCUGAAGAGCGUCAAGCAGGCUUGACCCUGUGGCCAGGCUGACCCCUGCGCUCUCCUUGGUGUCGUCAGCCUGAGGAUCUGGAACAGCUCUGGCCCCGGGUCAGUGUGCUUGAGCAAAUGAGGGCGAGCCGUCAGCAUCUGCGUAGUUCCGAGGCCGAGCGCAAGGCAGCACAGCUCUGCCCGGCCUGGCGAGGGGCGACCCAGCCCGAUGGCGCAGCCCGUGCCGCCGAAACGCAGGACACGUGAAAUAUAUUCAGUCUGAGCAAGACGCAGGCUGCUCUGUGGAGACUCUGCUGCCAGCCCUCUCUUGAGACGGAGGUUGAGCAGGGCAACUGGGUAGAUGUGUGCCUCACCUGGACAGAAAAUGGGAGAUAAGCAGGUAACAGGUAUGGCGUAUUAACCAGGUGCCAGCAUGCCGCUAAGCUUGUCGCCUGAAUUCCCUGGUUAAGUCCUCCCACGACCCCGGGCUGGGUGCUGUUCCCAUCAUCAUUUCAAGGUGAAGGAACCGAGGCCCAUAUGGGUUGAGUGGGUUGCCCAUAAUCAUUCAAUUAACCAUCUCUCCUGCACGUCCCAUUUCACGGGGCUUGUGGUGAGGUCCCUAAACCUGCCUUUUUAAAGAGCACCUGUGGCUGCUUUUGGCCUGAGGCAGGUUGGGAAACGCCGCACUUUCUGGAAAAGUGUGGACUCAUUAUGGAAGGCGAUUCUGCUGUUCUGAGGGCUGUCCCCUCCUUGCCUGCUGCAGCCCCUCAGAAGCCCUGGGGCCACUCCUGCCCCUCAGACAGGCUCCCCUCGGGUGUCCCGCAUCGCCUGGACACUCCGGUGGAAAGCGAGCGGGUGGCAUGUGCUGGGCGUUGGUUGCAGUUCAUUUUCCUCCCUUUCAGAAGCCCCGUUUGUCUCCCACCGCGUCUGUUUGUGCUGGUUCUUAAGUUCUGAUAAUUGUGUCUUUUAUCCCUUUCCCUUCCCUCCU
Molecule: long non-coding RNA, 1838 nt
Organism: Equus caballus (horse)
Lineage: Eukaryota; Metazoa; Chordata; Mammalia; Perissodactyla; Equidae
Source: Ensembl